UACAGAGGUCCCAAGCGUUGUUCGGAUUCAUUGGGCGUAAAGGGUGCGUAGGCGGCGCGGUAAGUCGGGUGGGAAAUCUCGGAGCUUAACUCCGAAACUGCAUUCAAUACUGCCGUGCUUGAGGACUGGAGAGGAGACUGGAAUUUACGGUGUAGCGGUGAAAUGCGUAGAUAUCGUAAGGAAGACCAGUGGCGAAGGCGGGUCUCUGGACAGUUCCUGACGCUGAGGCACGAAGGCCAGGGGAGCAAACGGG
Molecule: ribosomal RNA, 253 nt
Filed under: uncultured bacterium
Lineage: Bacteria
Description: partial 16S ribosomal RNA
Rfam family: Bacterial small subunit ribosomal RNA
Source: RNAcentral